AUUGAACGCUGGCGGCAGGCCUAACACAUGCAAGUCGAACGAGGGGCGGACGGGUGAGUAAUGUCUGGGAAACUGCCCGAUGGAGGGGGAGAACGACUGGAAACGGUAGCUAAUACCGCAUACGACCGGAGGUGCCCAGAUGGGAUUAGCUAGUGGGGGGGGUAACGGCUCACCUAGGCGACGAUCCCUAGCUGGUCUGAGAGGAUGACCAGCCACACUUGAAUUGAUACCUGGUCCAGACUCCUACGGUAGGCAGCAGUGGGGAAUAUUGCACAAUGGGCGCAAGCCUGAUGCAGCCAUUCCGCGUGUAUGAAGAAGGCCUUCGGGUUGUAAAGUACUUUCAGCGAGGAGGCGUUACUCGCAGAAGAAGCACCGGCUAACUCCGUGCCAGCAGCCGCGGUAAUAC
This 406-nucleotide ribosomal RNA is filed under the name uncultured bacterium. RNAcentral's name for it is "partial 16S ribosomal RNA". It matches the Rfam family "Bacterial small subunit ribosomal RNA", at positions 30 to 526 of the family's 1533-position model. The record is from RNAcentral.